Molecule: ribosomal RNA, 385 nt
Filed under: Staphylococcus aureus
Lineage: Bacteria; Bacillati; Bacillota; Bacilli; Caryophanales; Staphylococcaceae
Description: partial 23S ribosomal RNA
Rfam family: Bacterial large subunit ribosomal RNA
Source: RNAcentral
GCCGAUGAAGGACGUUACUAACGACGAUAUGCUUUGGGGAGCUGUAAGUAAGCUUUGAUCCAGAGAUUUCCGAAUGGGGAAACCCAGCAUGAGUUAUGUCAUGUUAUCGAUAUGUGAAUACAUAGCAUAUCAGAAGGCACACCCGGAGAACUGAAACAUCUUAGUACCCGGAGGAAGAGAAAGAAAAUUCGAUUCCCUUAGUAGCGGCGAGCGAAACGGGAAGAGCCCAAACCAACAAGCUUGCUUGUUGGGGUUGUAGGACACUCUAUACGGAGUUACAAAGGACGACAUUAGACGAAUCAUCUGGAAAGAUGAAUCAAAGAAGGUAAUAAUCCUGUAGUCGAAAAUGUUGUCUCUCUUGAGUGGAUCCUGAGUACGACGGAGC